AGCAGCCGCGGUAAUUCCAGCUCCAAUAGCGUAUAUUAAAGUUGUUGCAGUUAAAAAGCUCGUAGUUGAAUUUCGGGGUCAGUAGGUUGGUCGUGCCACCGGUACGUACUGGUCUCACUGAUUCCUCCUUCCUGAUGAGCUGUAAUGCCAUUAAUUUGGUGUUGCAGGGAAUCUGGACUGUUACUUUGAAAAAUUAGAGUGUUUAAAGCAGGCUAACGCUUGAAUACAUUAGCAUGGAAUAAUGAAAUAGGACGUUCGAUCCUAUUUUGUUGGUUUCUAGGAUUGACGUAAUGAUUAAUAGGGAUAGUUGGGGGCAUUAGUAUUCAAUUGUCAGAGGUGAAAUUCUUGGAUUUAUUGAAGACUAACUACUGCGAAAGCAUUUGCCAAGGAUGUUUUCAUUAAUCAAGAACGAAAGUUAGGGGAUCGAAGACGAUCAGAUACCGUCGUAGUCUUAACCAUAAACUAAUGCCGACUAGGGAUCGGAUGAUGUUAAUUUUAAUGUACUCAUUCGGC
This 513-nucleotide ribosomal RNA is filed under the name uncultured Glomus. Its description in RNAcentral is "SSU rRNA". It matches the Rfam family "Eukaryotic small subunit ribosomal RNA", at positions 569 to 1084 of the family's 1831-position model. Lineage: Eukaryota; Fungi; Glomeromycota; Glomeromycetes; Glomerales; Glomeraceae. The record is from RNAcentral.